CUGGGGAGAAAGACGGUUUGCUGAGAUAACUUUAAGUCUUGCUAUUAUCUUGUAUUAUACUUUUAUACUUUUAUUCUUUUAUCUUUUUAUUUUUUCCAUCUUUAUGGAUAACUUAAACUCCAUACCUAUUAUUGAAUUCUUUGCACCUUCGGAGACCAGCCAUAGACCAUGGGAGUCAACAAGUCCUGCCCCUAAUUAUGAUCUGUGUCCAGAGUUGAUUGCAAUAGGUCAAAACCAACCCUUUUCUAUAGCUGAGGUCCUAUCUUUUAAUCAAAAAGAUAAUGAACUUUUAGCUACACCUAGGGAAUCUGUUAAUCUUUCUAUAAAUUCUGGUUUAAACCUAGCCCUACAAGACCAUGUUUUUCCUCGAUAUUUUCACAUUGGUCUAAAUCAUAUAACCUUUGGUAGAGUUUUUCUUUCUUUAUCUGUUAGUAAAGGAAGGUAUGUCUUCAUUUGUGG
This 459-nucleotide long non-coding RNA is filed under the name Sorghum bicolor (sorghum). RNAcentral describes it as "long non-coding RNA (SBIC_LNC017270)". The record is from RNAcentral. Lineage: Eukaryota; Viridiplantae; Streptophyta; Magnoliopsida; Poales; Poaceae.